UAACCUAAAUGAAUUAAAAAUACAAAAUAAUAAUUAUUAUAUUGAAAAUUUCCUUAUCGAAGAUUUAUUCUAAAUUAAAAUCUUCUUGUUCAAUAUCAUUCUACCCCAUUUGGUGAAAACUCAACUUUGAGUUUUGAAGUGAUGAAGGAUCAAUAAUGAUAAAGCAAGAACUUAAACUCCAAAUGCUUGCAACUCAGGAUUCUCAUAAACUCCGUGAGAAGAUAAGAACUUUAUUAUCAAAAUUGUAGAUUUAGGGGAACAUGAGUCAAAACAAAGACACAAGAAGGAGGUUGUUCAACAUGAUUGGCAAGAACAACUUUACUAAGAGAAAGAAAGAAGUUGCAAAAGAAAAUAAUGGUGUAGGUGCAGGGACCAUGCAGGAGAGGAAAUCUGGGGUGAUCUCCAUAACUUUUUUUAAGUUAAGGUUUAUUAAAGAGAGAUAGAAUUUUACAGCUCUACGAGAAAACCUUGAGAAAUUGGGUUCACCAUUGUCUUGGGAACACAUUACCAAUAAGGUAAGUUUGGAAAGAAAGAAACAACAAAGCGUUUGAUAAGUAUGUGGAAGCGAUCUCGCUUGCCACUCGCCAGAUAGAGUGUAGCGGGUGUUUUUCUUCGUGGACUGUCGCUAGGCGGCGAUGGUCGUUUCAGAUUACUAUGGUGGUGGGCUUGAGGCGGUUUUUAGUGCUUGAAUAAAAGUCUUUUGAUGUGGUUAGAGAGGGUAGCGGAGUUAGAAUUUACGAAAACGGGAGGGGCUUUCGGAAAUCAAUUUUCUUCUAGAAGGGUGAUAUUGAAUGGCUCAUUCAGUAUUUCAGAGAGUUUAUAUGGAAGGAGGAGGGGGCGUGGGGGAGGAGUAGAAGAAGCAGUUGGAGAAACCUUUGGAUGGCAUUGAGUGGUAACAAAAGAGGGAAGUUUCUGGUACUGUCGGAAGGGAUUGAAGGAUCCAAGGGGAGAAUCAACAGGACCUUCCUUCCAGAGGGGGACAAAGCUGAGGGGUGGUGGCAGAUGAUGGAAGCAAUCCAUGAGGUGGUGGGAGUGAAGUUAAUCCCCCAUGAUUGGGUUACGAAGAGAGGAGCAAAAAAAUGCACCGAUUCUAAAGAGUAAGAAGGAUCAGACGAUUUUUAUAUUCAGAUGCUCGGAGUGUUGCUUGAAAUUAGGCCUUCAAGAGGGGAAAUGGUUCGGAAAAAUAUUUGUUGAAACUUUUCUGAAACCGGCAAUUGAUUCUAUUCAGGUAGGGCAAGAGAACCUAUCUGAUCAGAGUGUGGUGGGUCAGGUUGAUUCAUAAUUUGAAAUUAGAAAGAAAGGGGGGCAUGUGAGGGAGUUUGAACGGAAACUAUAUUGUGAAAGAGUAAAAAAUGGGCUGAAAAGGAAAUUACUAUGGGCUAAGAAAGGGAAGUGGGUUGAUCAACCUAGGCCUAGUAGGAGUUUGGGUAGGGAGCGAGUCAAAGUCUAGAGAUCGAAGCGGGUGAAACUUGGUUCUCCAAAAAUUAGGGUUCCCGAGAGCCAUCAUUUUGCUCCCGAGAACUCAGAAAAGAAAGAUGAGGAAAUAGUGAGGGUUUUCCAGGGUGCAGAGACAGAAAUGUUGGAAAGUGAAAGGAUAAGGGGGGAGGUGGUCGCGAAGGGGAGUGAAGAAUAGUGUUUGUCGAUUCUUCA
RNAcentral lists this long non-coding RNA (1650 nucleotides) under Carica papaya (papaya). Its description in RNAcentral is "long non-coding RNA (CPAP_LNC001220)". The record is from RNAcentral. Lineage: Eukaryota; Viridiplantae; Streptophyta; Magnoliopsida; Brassicales; Caricaceae.